UACGUAGGGUGCGAGCGUUGUCCGGAAUUACUGGGCGUAAAGCGUGCGCAGGCGGUUAUGCAAGACAGAUGUGAAAUCCCCGGGCUCAACCUGGGAACUGCAUUUGUGACUGCAUGGCUAGAGUGCGGCAGAGGGGGAUGGAAUUCCGCGUGUAGCAGUGAAAUGCGUAGAUAUGCGGAGGAACACCGAUGGCGAAGGCAAUCCCCUGGGCCUGCACUGACGCUCAUGCACGAAAGCGUGGGGAGCAAACAGG
This 253-nucleotide ribosomal RNA is filed under the name uncultured bacterium. RNAcentral's name for it is "partial 16S ribosomal RNA". It matches the Rfam family "Bacterial small subunit ribosomal RNA", at positions 524 to 776 of the family's 1533-position model. The record is from RNAcentral.